AUCGGGCGAGUGCUGUCAAUGUGACACGUCCAGCUGUAGGCGUAGUAAGUCGAGAUCCUCGGAGGUAUCCUACCGGAUAGGUCCAAGUGGACGAUACUCUGAUUCACGAGUCUGAUAGCACGAGUCUGAUAGCACAAGUUCCGAAAGCCUAAAGAGCUCGGAAUCACGCACUCACUUUUCUGUUUCUCCUUUCGGAGCACUCAGUUUUUUCAUUAGCACGCGAGUCCUCUCUCAAUUGUUUCCGAUCAUAAUAUCGUCGUCCUCACGCGAUCAAAAGUUUCUCGAUCCUCGCGCAGGGUCGCGAGAUAAUCAACGACGGAUUUUCGAGCUUGCGAAAGCUCCUCCUUGUCGGCGAUUCUACGGACUGGUUAGUCGACUAGCGACGUGCAUUCAUUAAUAUAUAUGAUAAUCAUCCAAUACGUAUACGAUGCCUCUCGAUGAUUGCUCUCGUCUCCAUUAUCUUUAUCGUCGUCAUCGUCGUGAUCAUUGCAAAAGCCAACGACGACGGCGCCACGCAAAACACCAUCGUAAAUAUGAACGAGAUCGUUCGCGAUCGAUAAGAUGAAUGAAACCGAGGUUGAAAAACACAGAGAAGGUAUACAGUGGCACUACGAUAUCACUCGCGAUCGGAACUCGGUUUAAUCUCGUUCAUCCAGCGAUAUGGAAAUCGCGAUAGAAAAUCGCGCGCUUGAUUUUAUUCACGAUAAUAAAAUCUUUCCUUCCUCUUUGCACCGUUUGACGCACUUUUCUCUACCUCGACACCGUCACUCUCCGUGUCUCGGCGCGUUUUCACGUAUCUUUGGUCAUUUCGUUAUCGCGCCUCCACCUUCGCCGUCCACCUCAUCCUCCGUCUUUCCUCCUUUUCUUCUUCUUUUCCUCCACCGCCGUCGUCUUCGCCUUUUCCUCCUUCCUCCUCCUCCUCCUCCUCCUCCUCGUCCGCCUCUUCCUCUUCCACCUCCAGUUUCUCCACCUUCGACCAGCGGAGGCAAGUCGUCGCUCUCUCUCUCUCUCUCUCUCUGUUGUCCUCUUCUUCUCUUUCCUCUUUCUCCUUUUUUUCCUCCGCUUCGUCCUCUGGUCCCGCACGAUCAAACAACCACCACCGUCACCAACAACACACUUAGUUCCGCCGCAGUGCUACGAGCGGAGGUGUCGUCACGCGCGUCGACUAAUUUUCGGACGAACUUUCCGGUUCGGUGUCUUGUAUUGGACUGUGCAGAAGUGGCACCUUCCAGUUUCUGAACUUACAUCUUGUCAGAUAAAAUAUUCGAGAAGUAUUCGAAAAGAAGAGGAUCGAUGCUCUGAUAAUAUCGACGAUUCCUGUCUAUAUACGCAUCGCAUCCGUGUAUCGCGUUACGCAUCGGAUCAAAAUAUCAAAGGAUGAGAUGAAAGAGAGGAGGAAGAAAAAAAUCAAGAAUCACCGCCGUUGCGCUGCGUUCGUAUGCGGACAAGAGCUAAGGACCUCUCAUUACAAAUCCCGUGUGGAGUAUUUGAUUACCGACGACGAUAACAAAUUUCAGUAAUGCGCGCUGAGAACGAGGAGAUAAUUAAUAUCAUCGAACGUGUCUCGCGUAUGAAAUACCCUUUGCUAACUAAAGAGGUGGACGUUUAAAUAAGGCGGUGGAGGAGAGAAAGAGAGGAAACCGUGCUGGCGACGUACGCGAAGAUGUAAUCCAAUGUGACACUGAAGCGGAAAGUAACGUCCCGAGGCAAUGUAACGUCGACAGAGUGUACGUGAUGAACGAGCGCUCGCCGUGAAUCAUUUUAUGAGUUUUAUAAUAUUGGCCAGGUUUAUAUAGUCUGCAUCAAGAGUCACGCACUUUCACCGUGCCAAUAUGAAAAGAAUGAUGGUUUGUUUAAAUAUUACAACCGAUUCAUAAUUAAACGAUGUUUAGUGUGUGAAAUAAUAUACACAUAUAACGAAAAAAAAAAAAAAAAAAACAUUUUAAUUUUUAAAUAAAUUUAACUAAAUUUAGUUUUAGACGUCGAUAAAACGAUGAAUAUAAAGAGAGAUAUAAAACGGUAUACCUGUUAAAUGCCAUCAUUGGAUUCGGAGACACAGGUUCCUGCAGCGAUCCGCCAUAAAAUCGCAUACGGGAAUCGCCGCUAAAAAUUCCAGAUACACGCGGUUUCACUGAUGUAAGGAGCGGCCACGAGCUGAAAAGGGUUAAAGCGGGGAGGAAGGCGGAGAGAAGUAGUCGGAUGUAGAAGGCCGCGAAAACGAUGUCAGCACGAAGAAACGCAAUGCAAGACAAACGGGGGCGGGCGGGGGCCGAAAAAGAGUGUAAGGCUGGUUCGCGCGCGCGCACGCGGUUUUCUCCUUGGCCUCUGGAUCGUGAUCGUUGCCAUCGGAUGCAAGUCCAGCCGAGCAGGCAGCCGCAUCGCGCCGGUAGCCUCAAGGGGCAGAAAAACGAAAAAGAAAAGAAAAAAAAAGAAAAAAAAAAAAAACACGCACAAAGCCGACGCCACUCAUGGCGAGCGGAUUUUUAUAUCGAGCAUGCAAGGAGCUGCGUGCGUAAUGCGUGUGCAUGAUGACUCGUUCUCCUGUAAUAAAAUAGAUUAUAUGGUAUUUAGUCCUGCAUAGAUUACCCUGCAUAGAUAAUACGUAAAAACUAGAAGAUAAUGAGAUUCUUUUGAUGCAGAUUUUUUUUAUUAAAGGAAAUUUUUUAUUGAAGGAAAUGGUAUAAAAGAUUAAUGAAAUAAUAAAUUGAAAUUAUCCAAAG
Molecule: long non-coding RNA, 2720 nt
Organism: Cataglyphis hispanica
Lineage: Eukaryota; Metazoa; Arthropoda; Insecta; Hymenoptera; Formicidae
Exons: 3
Source: RefSeq, a predicted model, not a curated record